AAAAAAUUCAACACGCAUUUUUGGGCUGCUAUGACGUAACUUGGUUGCUCGCCUAUUUGCAGUGACUAUUUGUCGAGCAACCAAGUUACGUCAUCAAAAAUCGAGAUGUCGGCUUCGAUGGAAUCAAGGUACUGUAAAAGUACUCCCACAUUUUAACUUAUUGCCAGAAACCCUUCUACUUUUUGCUUGGCCGAGUUGACUUUUGUUACUAUUAGGAAGGAACUGUUAGGAAGGAACUGUGUUAAAAGAAACAAUAACUUUGCCGACGUUAACUGCGUUUUUUCACCGUAUAUAUAUACCUCUUCUAUUUAAAACGAUCUGACCUAAUUAAAAGGUGUGUCCAAGAUGUAAAAAAGUUCACAAAAAAUUCGGCAAAGCAAAAUUUUUGGCAAUAACAUGUGCAGGUAUUUUAAAUGUCCCCUAUACUCUAGGAAUUUAUUAUAGCACAUAAUCUGGUUAUACUUUACAACAUAUAUAUUUCAACAUAUCCUCACACCUAGAAUUCACGAUUAUCGUUAAUUUGCGAAUCGGUCUUAUUAUCGUGAAUUUCUAACCGUAAUCCGAACUGAAUCCUGGUCCAACCUUCGCUUGUUCCCUCUUUAUGCCUUCCUUAACAGUUCCCUCAAUAAUCCUUUUUACUUAUUCUUGAAAAGUACCAAUUAUAAGUUGCCCAGUAUGACUAAAAUAAAGCCAGUUUUCCAUUUCAAGCGUACCGAAACGUAUCAGAAACAUUUUUAAAUUUCAAAAUUUAGUGAAUGUUGAUUGGUUAAUACUUCCGUAGUACGCCAAAACGUUGACAUGCGACGAACUUUUCAUUUUGAUACGCGAAUACACCCGGAAGUACGUGGGAUUUAUAAACCUCUUUUCAAUCUGCGCAUGCUCACCAGUACGUUUCGGUAUGGUCAACUACUCAAGUAUAGAGUCGCUCUUUAAAUUCACUAUUAUCAUGAAAUCAGAGCGAUUUGAGAAUUAACG
This is a non-coding RNA of Paramuricea clavata, 975 nucleotides long. Lineage: Eukaryota; Metazoa; Cnidaria; Anthozoa; Malacalcyonacea; Plexauridae. The record is from the annotation of a GenBank genome assembly.